CAUAGCAAGGGCCGGGCAAGACCGGUGCCAGCCGCCGCGGUAACACCGGCGGCUCGAGUGGUAACCGUUAUUAUUGGGUCUAAAGGGUCUGUAGCCGGCCGGAUAAGUCUCUUGAGAAAUCCGGCAGCUCAACUGUCGGGCUUUCAGGAGAUACUGUUCGGCUCGAGGCCGGGAGAGGUGAGAGGUACUUCAGGGGUAGGGGUGAAAUCUUGUAAUCCUUGAAGGACCACCAGUGGCGAAGGCGUCUCACCAGAACGGACCUGACGGCAAGGGACGAAAGCUAGGGGCACGAACCGGAUUAGAUACCCGGGUAGUCCUAGCCGUAAACGAUACUCGCUAGGUGUCGGCCACGGUGCGACCGUUGUCGGUGCCGUAGGGAAGCCGUGAAGCGAGC
RNAcentral lists this ribosomal RNA (394 nucleotides) under uncultured archaeon. RNAcentral describes it as "bacterial SSU rRNA". It matches the Rfam family "Archaeal small subunit ribosomal RNA", at positions 431 to 824 of the family's 1478-position model. The record is from RNAcentral.